AUUGAACGCUGGCGGCAUGCCUUACACAUGCAAGUCGAACGGCAGCACGGGAGCAAUCCUGGUGGCGAGUGGCGAACGGGUGAGUAAAGUAUCGGAACAUGCCCAGUCGUGGGGGAUAACGUAGCGAAAGUUACGCUAAUACCGCAUACGAUCUAUGAAUGAAAGCGGGGGAUCGCAAGACCUCGCGCGAUUGGAGCGGCCGAUAUCAGAUUAGGUAGUUGGUGGGGUAAAGGCUCACCAAGCCGACGAUCUGUAGUUGGUCUGAGAGGACGACCAGCCACACUGGGACUGAGACACGGCCCAGACUCCUACGGGAGGCAGCAGUGGGGAAUUUUGGACAAUGGGCGAAAGCCUGAUCCAGCCAUGCCGCGUGCAGGAUGAAGGCCUUCGGGUUGUAAACUGCUUUUGUACGGAACGAAAAGGUUUGGCCUAAUAAGCUGAGCUCAUGACGGUACCGUAAGAAUAAGCACCGGCUAACUACGUGCCAGCAGCCGCAGUAA
Molecule: ribosomal RNA, 500 nt
Filed under: uncultured bacterium
Lineage: Bacteria
Description: partial 16S ribosomal RNA
Rfam family: Bacterial small subunit ribosomal RNA
Source: RNAcentral